Molecule: long non-coding RNA, 975 nt
Filed under: Coturnix japonica (Japanese quail)
Lineage: Eukaryota; Metazoa; Chordata; Aves; Galliformes; Phasianidae
Description: lncRNA (ENSCJPG00005002130.1)
Source: RNAcentral
GUUGCUAUGGGGGCUGGGCUUAUAGGGUGAUGUGCUAAUUGGGGCUCUAUGCUAUUGGGCAACGGCUAAUGGGGGCACAGGCUAUAGGGGCUCAGAAGCUAUGGGGCACGCUAUGGGGCUCGGAGCUAUGGGGCAUCGGGGCUAUGGGGCUCUAUGCUAUGGGGUGCGCUAUGGGGCGCUAUGUUAUGGGGUGCUAUGCUAUGGGGCACACUAUGGGGUGCUACGCUAUGGGGCGCUGCUGUGGGGCUGGCCCCAUCCCCGCCGCCGUCAUCAAUGGGGCUGAGCAGCUCCGGCCCCACAAGUGGCGCCAUGUGGGGCUGACGGGACCUGUGGGGCACAGAGAGAGAUUGACCCCAUAGAGCCUGACCCAUAGAGACACAUAGGGACCUAUAGGGACCCAUAGAGACCCCAUAGAGCCCUGACCCACAGAUCCCACCCCAUAGAGACCCCAUAGUAACCCACAGAGACCCAUAGAGACCCCAUAGACCCCAUAGAGACCAAUAGAACCCCAUAGACCCCAUAGAGACCCAUAGAGACCCCAUAGAGACCCAUAGAGACCCAUAGAGACCCAUAGAGACCCCAUAGAGACCCCAUAUCAUCCUAUAUAACCCAAUAUCCCCCCAUAUCCCCCCAUAGAACCCCAUAGAGGCCCCAUAGAGACCCCAUAGACCCCAUAUAACCCCCAUAAACCCCAUAGACCCCAUAUAAACCCCAUAGAGCCCCAUAGAACCCCAUAUAAACCCCAUAGACACCAUAGAACCCCAUAUCACCCCAUAUCACCCAUAGACACCCCAUAGAGACCCCAUAUACCCCAUAUAACCACAUAGAGACCCAUAGGGACCCCAUAGAGACCCAUAGAGACCCCAUAGAGACCAAUAGAACCCCAUAGACCCCAUAGAGACCCAUAGAGACCCCAUAGAGACCCCAUAGAGACCCCAUAGAGCGCUGACCCACAGAUCCCACCCCAUAGAGACC